This is a long non-coding RNA of Empidonax traillii (willow flycatcher), 336 nucleotides long. RefSeq lists it as uncharacterized. NCBI's taxonomy places the organism in Eukaryota, Metazoa, Chordata, Aves, Passeriformes, Tyrannidae. The record is from RefSeq and is a predicted model, not a curated record. The transcript is spliced from 3 exons.
AUAUGCUGCUUCAAGCAAGAAAAAUUGAGUGUGUACAAGGGGUUGACUGGGGCCCUCAGGAAGAUGGCUUAGUAUCAAAUUUAUCUCACAGAAACAAAUGCUGCCAAGUGAUUGGUAUUAAUAAUGCAUUGAAAGCUGCAGACACAUCUGAUAUUUUCUUCUACUCUUGAGGAAAAGGAUUAUUGUAAACCUUUGAAUGUUCCUUUCGUUCCUCCAGUCAGAGUAAUCUUGAGGGCUCUUGAGGUACUCAAGGAAGGUUUACUGGAAUCUGGAAGAUGUGGCCGUCAACGGGUGUCAAGAAGAAUUGUGCUAUUUGCCCCGUGGAAAUAUUGUGGU